ACUCUACUGAUAAGUGACUGAUUUUCCCUGCAAGGAUUGUCUUAUUUUAAACUUCAAAUUUAGUUGCCUUACUUUAUGUAAGGCAAUUUUGAAUGGGUUUUAAAGUGCAGUUGAAGACUAUUCAUACCUUUCUAAACCUAGAAGGCAGGAGUAGUGAACUAACGAUGGGAAGGGUGUAUCCCAGCCUUUCCAGCAUAAGGGGAAAGAGGGCUUGUCAAUGGGGAAUGUCUAAUGUGGAGAACAUGUAGGAGACAGAUGCACCGAGAUACAAAGCCAGCCAUGAACUUGCUGCACAGAGGCCAGAGUGACUGAUUUUCCUUUUGGUUACCCCUCAUUUUCAGAACCAUCUUAUGUAAAACACCCAUGAAAUACAAGAAUGAAUUAUUAAACUUAAAAAAGAGUAACUUGUGGCCGGGCGCGGUGGCUCAUGCACUUUGGGAGGCCGAGGUGGGUGGAUCACAAGGUCUGGAGAUCAAGACCUUCCUGGCUAACACAGUGAAACCCCAUCUCUACUAAAAAAAUACAAAAAGUUAGCUGGGUGUGGUGGCAUGUGCCUGUAGUCCCAGCUACUCGGGAGGCUGAGGCAGGAGAAUCAUCGCUUGAACCCGGAGGCAGAGUUGCAGUGAGCCAAGAUCACGUCAGUGCACUCCAGUCUGAGUGACAGAGUGAGACUGUCUCAAACAAACAAACAAACAAACAAACAAACUUGUAUUAACAUCUCCAUUGCCCCAUUUGCACUCCAGAAAUGGCUCAUUGAGGGGAAUUACAGUUUUCUGCAGAGAUGUAGGGAAGUACUUUGAGUGGUAGAGGUAGAAGUGGUAACAUCUAGGGGAGAGUUUGUGUUUACUCGGACUGGGGAUGGUAUGGCAGAGGCCAGUGGCAUAAAGAGCUUCAUAUGGAGACACUGGGUCUGAGAUAGGGAGUCACAGUCAGUGUGGCGGGGGCCAGAUGUGGAUCUCUGAGAGUCCACUUGGAGUGAUGGUGACUGAGACAGCAUUGGCAAGUGCUCAGCUAGGUGCCAUGGGCCAAGACAUGUGAGGACUACAACAACCUUGGACAAAAGAAGCUACGUC
This 1073-nucleotide long non-coding RNA is filed under the name Pan troglodytes (chimpanzee). RNAcentral's name for it is "lncRNA (ENSPTRG00000053465.1)". The record is from RNAcentral. Lineage: Eukaryota; Metazoa; Chordata; Mammalia; Primates; Hominidae.